GGAGUUGUAGCUCAGUGGUAGAGCACUCACCUAGUAUGUAUGAGGCACUGGGUUUGAUCCUCAGCACCA
Molecule: transfer RNA, 69 nt
Filed under: Ictidomys tridecemlineatus (thirteen-lined ground squirrel)
Lineage: Eukaryota; Metazoa; Chordata; Mammalia; Rodentia; Sciuridae
Description: Spermophilus tridecemlineatus (thirteen-lined ground squirrel) tRNA
Rfam family: tRNA
About the family: Transfer RNA (tRNA) molecules are approximately 80 nucleotides in length. Their secondary structure includes four short double-helical elements and three loops (D, anti-codon, and T loops).
Source: Rfam by way of RNAcentral